This 193-nucleotide unclassified non-coding RNA is filed under the name Ruminococcaceae bacterium YRB3002. Its description in RNAcentral is "Bacterial large signal recognition particle RNA". The stretch from base 57 to 156 matches the Rfam family "Bacterial small signal recognition particle RNA". From Rfam's summary of the family: The signal recognition particle (SRP) is a universally conserved ribonucleoprotein involved in the co-translational targeting of proteins to membranes. Archaeal SRP consists of a 7S RNA and homologues of the eukaryotic SRP19 and SRP54 proteins. Lineage: Bacteria; Bacillati; Bacillota; Clostridia; Eubacteriales; Oscillospiraceae. The record is from RNAcentral.
UAUCUCAAUCAAUGAUAUAAUACGUAGGUUGAAUCAUCCCAUCUGAUCUGCAGUCGGUUCGGGUCUCGUGCAAGGCAGUGUUGUGAACCCUGUCAGGUCCGGAAGGAAGCAGCAGUAAGCAGAUUUCUGUUUGUGCCGCGAGGGUGCCUGUCCGACUGUAGUUCAGGUGGGAUGAGUUUAUCUACAUGGGAUA